This 926-nucleotide ribosomal RNA is filed under the name Staphylococcus aureus. Its description in RNAcentral is "partial 23S ribosomal RNA". It matches the Rfam family "Bacterial large subunit ribosomal RNA", at positions 540 to 1471 of the family's 2925-position model. The record is from RNAcentral. Lineage: Bacteria; Bacillati; Bacillota; Bacilli; Caryophanales; Staphylococcaceae.
GAAAUAGAACCUGAAACCGUGUGCUUACAAGUAGUCAGAGCCCGUUAAUGGGUGAUGGCGUGCCUUUUGUAGAAUGAACCGGCGAGUUACGAUUUGAUGCAAGGUUAAGCAGUAAAUGUGGAGCCGUAGCGAAAGCGAGUCUGAAUAGGGCGUUUAGUAUUUGGUCGUAGACCCGAAACCAGGUGAUCUACCCUUGGUCAGGUUGAAGUUCAGGUAACACUGAAUGGAGGACCGAACCGACUUACGUUGAAAAGUGAGCGGAUGAACUGAGGGUAGCGGAGAAAUUCCAAUCGAACCUGGAGAUAGCUGGUUCUCUCCGAAAUAGCUUUAGGGCUAGCCUCAAGUGAUGAUUAUUGGAGGUAGAGCACUGUUUGGACGAGGGGCCCCUCUCGGGUUACCGAAUUCAGACAAACUCCGAAUGCCAAUUAAUUUAACUUGGGAGUCAGAACAUGGGUGAUAAGGUCCGUGUUCGAAAGGGAAACAGCCCAGACCACCAGCUAAGGUCCCAAAAUAUAUGUUAAGUGGAAAAGGAUGUGGCGUUGCCCAGACAACUAGGAUGUUGGCUUAGAAGCAGCCAUCAUUUAAAGAGUGCGUAAUAGCUCACUAGUCGAGUGACACUGCGCCGAAAAUGUACCGGGGCUAAACAUAUUACCGAAGCUGUGGAUUGUCCUUUGGACAAUGGUAGGAGAGCGUUCUAAGGGCGUUGAAGCAUGAUCGUAAGGACAUGUGGAGCGCUUAGAAGUGAGAAUGCCGGUGUGAGUAGCGAAAGACGGGUGAGAAUCCCGUCCACCGAUUGACUAAGGUUUCCAGAGGAAGGCUCGUCCGCUCUGGGUUAGUCGGGUCCUAAGCUGAGGCCGACAGGCGUAGGCGAUGGAUAACAGGUUGAUAUUCCUGUACCACCUAUAAUCGUUUUAAUCGAUGGGGGG